GGAAAGGCGGCAGCUCAGUGGUAGAGAAUCUGCCCUGCAUGCAGAGGGUUCCAGGUUCGAUUCCCAGCAUUUCUA
Non-coding RNA from Podarcis lilfordi (Lilford's wall lizard), 75 nucleotides. Lineage: Eukaryota; Metazoa; Chordata; Lepidosauria; Squamata; Lacertidae. The record is from the annotation of a GenBank genome assembly.